Molecule: long non-coding RNA, 812 nt
Organism: Cygnus atratus (black swan)
Lineage: Eukaryota; Metazoa; Chordata; Aves; Anseriformes; Anatidae
Exons: 5
Source: RefSeq, a predicted model, not a curated record
GCACCAUGAAGAAGCUCUGUGCGACCCACUUGCGGGGACAGCUGACGCAUAUCCCUGUGCUGGCACGGCAGGAGGGCCUAGCAACCUGUUAGGAAGGAAGAUGGGAAACAGCAGGAGCAGAGCAAUGUUUUAAGGUGGAGAGUGAAGGAUACAAUACACAAUCAACUGAAUACUUUCUUACAACUCUUUGCCAGCAGAUUCUCUGUUUCCUUUCCUCUCUUCAUUUAAUUUAAUGUCCAAGUCUCGGAGCUGGCUGAGGAACCCUGUGUUUGGGCAGAUGUUUCUGUGAGAACCCACUGUUCUCAGAGCAUCCACAAGUGUCAUGUUUUCAUGGAUCAUCAAAAAGGCAAGCACUAAGGAUGCAGAGCGGCUUACCCCUAUGGCACAAUGCACGAACACUUUACCUGCAAAACAAAGAGACACGAGAACAUUAAGCUGAAGCAGUAGAAGGAAAUCAAGAGGUUCUACAUCUGGAGAUUCAGAAGACCAUGGACUAAUUUUCAAGGAGCAUGCAUGACUCUCAGACGCUGCAGAUGUUAAAAAGCUGAAGUCGUGGAGGUAGUGCUUAACACUAUGGCUCUUUGUCCUCCUGAUGGAAAAUUCCAGAUGGAAAGAAGCAUGGUUCACAGGGAAAUGAUCGUGUAAGUUGAAUUAAUCUUUCAGAUACUGUAAUGUGAAACCUGAUCUUCCUUUUUGUUAAGAAGACCCAAUCUGUGUCUCUACAUUUUGGCCAGAAUCCGAUGCUAAGAGAACCCAGGAGUCUCCUGAGGUAGAGCUGAAAGCCUCAUGCACAGAAACAGGCGCAUUUAAAA